This 1428-nucleotide long non-coding RNA is filed under the name Manihot esculenta (cassava). RNAcentral's name for it is "long non-coding RNA (MESC_LNC004973)". Lineage: Eukaryota; Viridiplantae; Streptophyta; Magnoliopsida; Malpighiales; Euphorbiaceae. The record is from RNAcentral.
CAAGCUCUUAUUUUGCAGAAAAAAUUCUGAAUCCUAAGUGAAGACCUCAGUGAGGUAGGUGACCGAUUUUGGAAAAUGACCUCCGGCACCACAAAACUGGCUGAGAUGACGAAGGGACAGCAAGGCCAAUGAGCCUGAAUCUCAUGCAAGGCUAGAGAGCCUGGAAGUGACAGUAAGGCCUAAGAGCCUGAAUCUUGCGCAAGACCUCAGUGAGGUAGGUGACUGGCCUCAGAAAAUGACCCCCGGCACCACAAAACCGGCUGAGAUGACGAAGCGACAGUAAGGCCAAUGAGCCUAAAUCCCAUGUAAGGCUAAAGAGCUUGGAAGCGACAGUAAAGCUUAAGAGCUUGAAUCUUGCGCAAGACCUCAGUGAGGUAGGUGACCGGCCUCGGAAAAUGGCCCCAGCACCACAAAAUCGGCUGAAAUGACGAAGCGACAGUAAGGCCAAUGAGCCUGAAUCCCAUGCAAGGCUAGAGAGCCUGGAAGCGACAGUAAGGCCUAAGAGCCUGAAUCUUGCGCAAGACCUUAGUGAGAUAGGUGACCAGCCUCGAAAAAUAACCCCCGGCACCAUAAAACCGGUUGAGAUGACGAAGCGACAGUAAGGCCAAUGAGCCUGAAUCCCAUGCAGAGCCUGAAUCUUGCGCAAGACCUCAAUGAGGUAGGUGACCGACCUCAGAAAAUGACCCCCGGCACCAUAAAACCGGCUGAGAUGACGAAACGACAGUAAGGCCAAUGAGCCUGAAUCCCAUGCAAGGCUAGAGAGCUUGGAAGCGACAGUAAGACCUAAGAGCCUGAAUCUUAUGCAAGACCUCAGUGAGGUAGGUGACUGGCCUCGGAAAAUGACCCCGGCACCACAAAACCGGCUGAGAUGACGAAGCGACAGUAAGGCCAAUGAGCCUGAAUCCCCUGCAAGGCUACCAUGCAAGGCUAAAGAGCCUGGAAGCGACACUAAGGCCUAAGAGCCUGAAUCUUGAGCAAGCCCUCAGUGAGGUAGGUGAUUGGUCUCAGAAAAUAACCGACAGCACUACAAAACCAAGCUGAGAGGAUGAAGGAAACUAUUCUUUUGCCUUUUAUUAAAAAAUACUGUAUGCUCACAGCAAACAGCGGCAUACGAUGACAACAUGCAAAAACAACUCAUAAGAACACAGCUCCGACCUCACAAUAAAAGAUUGGGGCACUGGACCAUAAAUGAAAAGCUAAACUCCGACCUCCCAAAGGAGCUCGGGUCAUAAGGUAAAGAGACUUUGAUCUCACACAACAGCCAAAAGCGCCAAAGCGCCAUGCUGACCUCAAGAGGGUGCUGGAACAGAAAUAAAAAAUCUGAAUCCGACCUCUCGAAAGAGCUCGGAUUACAGGCUAAUAAGACCUCGAUCUCACAAAAUAGCCAGCAUAUAACGAAAUUAAACUAAGGCGCUCCAACGCCUGUAU